AUUGAACGCUGGCGGCAUGCCUUACACAUGCAAGUCGAACGGCAGCACGGGAGCAAUCCUGGUGGCGAGUGGCGAACGGGUGAGUAAAGCAUCGGAACGUGCCCAGUCGUGGGGGAUAACGUAGCGAAAGCUACGCUAAUACCGCAUACGAUCUGUGGAUGAAAGCGGGGGACCGUAAGGCCUCGCGCGAUUGGAGCGGCCGAUGUCAGAUUAGGUAGUUGGUGAGGUAAAGGCUCACCAAGCCGACGAUCUGUAGCUGGUCUGAGAGGACGACCAGCCACACUGGGACUGAGACACGGCCCAGACUCCUACGGGAGGCAGCAGUGGGGAAUUUUGGACAAUGGGCGCAAGCCUGAUCCAGCAAUGCCGCGUGCAGGAUGAAGGCCUUCGGGUUGUAAACUGCUUUUGUACGGAGCGAAACGGCUUCCACUAAUACUGGGGGCUAAUGACGGUACCGUAAGAAUAAGCACCGGCUAACUACGUGCCAGCCGCCGCCGUAA
Molecule: ribosomal RNA, 500 nt
Filed under: uncultured bacterium
Lineage: Bacteria
Description: partial 16S ribosomal RNA
Rfam family: Bacterial small subunit ribosomal RNA
Source: RNAcentral